Peromyscus maniculatus bairdii (prairie deer mouse) is the source of this 122-nucleotide small nucleolar RNA. RefSeq annotates it as small nucleolar RNA SNORA40. NCBI's taxonomy places the organism in Eukaryota, Metazoa, Chordata, Mammalia, Rodentia, Cricetidae. The record is from RefSeq and is a predicted model, not a curated record.
AGCAUGCGUGUGUCUCUGUUGAACUGGUGGGCAGACUUAAAGAGAGGUGCAAACGACAAUCCUCUUUUGCAACCUGGAACUCUCCAGUCAGGGUGAGUUUUGAUCCGUGUAGAAGGAGUAUG